RNAcentral lists this microRNA precursor (197 nucleotides) under Oryza glumipatula. RNAcentral describes it as "MIR812 microRNA precursor family". It matches the Rfam family "MIR812 microRNA precursor family". Lineage: Eukaryota; Viridiplantae; Streptophyta; Magnoliopsida; Poales; Poaceae. The record is from Rfam by way of RNAcentral.
AAUAAAUACAGUUUUAACACUGCUCAUGCUCAACGUUUGACCGUUCGUCUUAUUUAAAAAAGAAUUAUGAUUAGUAUUGUUAUUGUUAUUAGAUGAUAAUACAUGAAUAUUAUUUUAUGUGUGACUAAUAUUAUUAAUUUUUUUUAUAAAAUUUUCAAAUAAAACAGAUGGUCCAGAUAUCUAUGGCUGCACUUAUU